Molecule: ribosomal RNA, 786 nt
Filed under: Acanthamoeba sp.
Lineage: Eukaryota; Discosea; Longamoebia; Acanthamoebidae
Description: SSU rRNA
Rfam family: Eukaryotic small subunit ribosomal RNA
Source: RNAcentral
GUUGCAGUUAAAAGCUCGUAGUUGGAUCUAGGGACGCGCAUUUCAAGCGUCCGCACUAUCGGGUCAAACCGGUAGUGCGUGGCGUUGCGGGCUCGGUCCGUUGGUGCCUACUAAAGCAUCAGCGUGUCAACCGGCCCGCCCGUCCCCUCCUUCUGGAUUCCCGUUCCUGCUAUUGAGUUAGUGGGGACGUCACAGGGGGUCCAUCGUCGGUCAGCAAUGGCCGGCGGUGGAUCCCUGGGGCCCAGAUCGUUUACCGUGAAAAAAUUAGAGUGUUCAAAGCAGGCAGAUCCAAUUUUCUGCCACCGAAUACAUUAGCAUGGGAUAAUGGAAUAGGACCCUGUCCUCCUAUUUUCAGUUGGUUUUGGCACGCGAGGACCAGGGUAAUGAUUAAUAGGGAUAGUUGGGGGCAUUAAUAUUUAAUUGUCAGAGGUGAAAUUCUUGGAUUUAUGAAAGAUUAACUUCUGCGAAAGCAUCUGCCAAGGAUGUUUUCAUUAAUCAAGAACGAAAGUUAGGGGAUCGAAGACGAUCAGAUACCGUCGUAGUCUUAACCAUAAACGAUGCCGACCAGCGAUUAGGAGACGUUGAAUACAAAACACCACCAUCGGUGCGGUCGUCCUUGGCGCGUCGCGGCUUGCCGUGGCGUGCGAGGGCGGUUUAGCCUGAUGGCAUCGGUGAAUGACUCCCCUAGCAGCUUGUGAGAAAUCAUAAGUCUUUGGGUUCCGGGGGGGAGUAUGGUCGCAAGGCUGAAACUUAAAGGAAUUGACGGAAGGGCACACCAGGAGUGGA